RNAcentral lists this long non-coding RNA (2482 nucleotides) under Sus scrofa (pig). RNAcentral describes it as "lncRNA (ENSSSCG00000054654.1, ENSSSCG00130001032.1, ENSSSCG00160016770.1, ENSSSCG00175022424.1)". Lineage: Eukaryota; Metazoa; Chordata; Mammalia; Artiodactyla; Suidae. The record is from RNAcentral.
GUCCUGACUUAGCAGCAUGGUAUUUUUUUUCACCUGCAGUAAAUGUCUUUUGAGGCAUCUACUGAGACCCAGCCCUUUUCUUAGAGAAUUGGUCCUGAGCCCCCACACCCCCUUGAAGGACUGGAAGCGUGGAUCAUGCUUGUUUUGUGUGACCCCAUAGGCUGGUCAAUGCAUGACCCAGCUGCGCACAGAAGGACCUUGCUCCAGGAACUGCAAUGUGGGCAGGUCGUUUGGUUGGGCCAGGGCUUGGAGAAGGCAGAGCUCUGGAGUUUGGGGCCACCGUUUUCAGCCAUGUGUCCAGAGACGUGGAAAGCCAGGGGGUGGGGGGGUUUUGCCAGGAAUCAAAGAUGUCAAGGGAAGCAGACGCCAGACUGGCCUUCCUGGAGACAGGCAAGGUCACUUCCUUGUUUCAGAGUGACUAUCCGCUUCCUAAUUUCAGACCUGGUGAAACAGGGCCACUCUUCACUGGGUACAUUUAGCGUCUCCCAAUAAAGUCUCCCUGUUUGCUUUGGUUGAUCACAACACGUUGGUGUGUGUGUGUGUGUGUUUAACCUACACAUUACCAUCUAACAUUUUCUUGGGCUUGCAGGACCUCUGGGAACAGCAAAGUGAAUGGCUCUAGCAUGAGACUUGGAAUAUAGUAGGCGGGUACCAUGACACAUGUGUUCAGAGGAUGGCAGUGGGGGCGGUCUUACCUUUAUACAGGAUGACCCUCCAUUUCCCUUGUGCCCCCCCGCCCCAGCUCUUGCGCGUGUCCUCUCUCCUAGGACCCUGUGCCUAAUACUGCCUCUUAAAGCGUCAAACCGUCAUUAUGUCUUUAUCUCACUUGCCUCUCGGCCAGUGUCUGCUCCAUGUCCUUCUUCUUAGCGCCUUGAAAAAUUUUUUUCUAAGAUGUUCAGAGAUGAUAAAAACGUAUUAGCUCAUCAGGAGAUAAGGGAAUCUGCAAUUUGUGGCAGACUGUCUUAGGGCUUGUCUAAAUUAGGGGUGAUUCUUUCCAUCACAGAGACAGAGGUUUCAGGACAUCUAGAGACAAAGGAUUUUACUGUCUUUUUUAUUUCCCAUGAAAUGCAAUGCUAAGCAGGGUUCAUAUUUUACCCACACGGCUUCCUGGCCUCUGCCGAAAGAGGCGUUUCAUCCGGUGCCCCAGCUGUUCUGGAGCCUGCAGUGGGGUGGCUGUCGGGGAAGGGGAGACACAGAAGCGGUUGGGGGCCUCUGUGCAGGCUCUCAAGUGCACUUCCCUCAGGGCAACAGCCUGUGGAAAUGUCCAGUCUGACUCUCUUCUUUCGGCACAAUGGAGGGCACCUGUCUCUGUUGUUUAUCAGAAAAUGAGCAGUAAGCACAAUCUCUACAUAAAGAGAAACUCAAAAAGACUAUAUUUCUGAUCUUCUUGGUGUUAGUUAUCUUCUGGAAAAAAAGGCACGGUCUUGGUAGAACUUGUUUACGAAUUACAGUUACAGUUCAUCAACCCCAAAUUCUCUUUCGAAGGAAAAACCAGAAUACGAGGUGCCUGUGCUGAUUAUAACACAUGGCCUACCAAGCCCCGUGCUGGGUACUUCCGUGCAUACUUCAUUUAAAUGUCACUGGAGUAGGGCCAUCUUACUACGGAUUUUUUUUAAGACGUUAAGUCAGGGCCUAAGAGGUCACAUAGAUGGUAAGUAAAAAAUCUGGUAAGAAAAGGUCACACGGCCAGAGUGUGGCCCCAAGUUUACCUGACUCUUAAAAGCACUAGGUCUACCACCCUCUAAUGUCUGAUAAGACAUCUCAGGGUGUGUGCUUGUUAAAAAUCCCAUCCCGGGCCUGUUGCAGAUCAAAUAAAUCAGCAUCUUCUAGAAAUGGGUCCAGGAAUUCAUCUCAGGUGAAGCUUAUCAGGCAAGUUAGAUAAAAGCUGCUGUCAGGCUUUAAAUGCUUUUUUCCCUCUUUCUUUAACCCAGUAAUUCUUGGCAAGGUGUUUGCAAAGAAAGCCUUUUCUCUUUUAACAAGCUUUUGGUUUUGGAAUCAUUUUGAGAAGUUGCAAAAAUCACACAGAGAGGUCCCAUAUGCCUCCUCCAACCUCUUUAUCUCUGAUGUUAGGAUCUUACAGAAACUAAGAAACUAACACUGAUCAGCUGUUACAAACUGCGUGUGGCCGCCGCUUACCCUGGAAACGAUGACAAUGACAGAGAAGGAAAGAGAAAGCUGGGACAGUCCAUAUUUGCUUUUUUCUUUCCUUUGUCCUCAGUCAGGAGUUCCCGUCGUGGCGCAGUGGUUAACGAAUCCGACUAGGAACCAUGAGGUUGCGGGUUCGGUCCCUGCCCUCGCUCAGUGGGUUAACGAUCUGGCGUUGCCGUGAGCUGUGGUGUAGGUUGCAGACGCGGCUCGGAUCCCGCGUUGCUGUGGCUCUGGCGUAGGCCGGUGGCUACAGCUCCGAUUAGACCCCUAGCCUGGGAACCUCCAUAUGCCGCGGGAGCGGCCCAAGAAAUAGCAACAACAACAACAACAAAAA